Molecule: ribosomal RNA, 301 nt
Filed under: uncultured bacterium
Lineage: Bacteria
Description: partial 16S ribosomal RNA
Rfam family: Bacterial small subunit ribosomal RNA
Source: RNAcentral
CAGUAGCCGCGGUAAAACGGAGGGUGCAAGCGUUAAUCGGAAUUACUGGGCGUAAAGCGCACGCAGGCGGUCUGACAAGUCAGAUGUGAAAUCCCCGGGCUUAACCUGGGAACUGCAUUUGAAACUGUCAGGCUGGAGUCUUGUAGAGGGGGGUGGAAUUCCAGGUGUAGCGGUGAAAUGCGUAGAGAUCUGGAGGAAUACCGGUGGCGAAGGCGGCCCCCUGGACAAAGACUGACGCUCAGGUGUGAAAGCGUGGGGAGCAAACAGGAUUAGAUACCCCUGUAGUCCCUGUCUCUUAUAC